This 481-nucleotide ribosomal RNA is filed under the name Streptococcus sp. oral taxon C08. RNAcentral describes it as "bacterial SSU rRNA". It matches the Rfam family "Bacterial small subunit ribosomal RNA", at positions 28 to 493 of the family's 1533-position model. Lineage: Bacteria; Bacillati; Bacillota; Bacilli; Lactobacillales; Streptococcaceae. The record is from RNAcentral.
GACGAACGCUGGCGGCGUGCCUAAUACAUGCAAGUAGAACGCUGAAGCUUGGUGCUUGCACCGAGCGGAUGAGUUGCGAACGGGUGAGUAACGCGUAGGUAACCUGCCUGGUAGCGGGGGAUAACUAUUGGAAACGAUAGCUAAUACCGCAUAAGAGUAGAUGUUGCAUGACAUUUGCUUAAAAGGUGCAAUUGCAUCACUACCAGAUGGACCUGCGUUGUAUUAGCUAGUUGGUGAGGUAACGGCUCACCAAGGCAACGAUACAUAGCCGACCUGAGAGGGUGAUCGGCCACACUGGGACUGAGACACGGCCCAGACUCCUACGGGAGGCAGCAGUAGGGAAUCUUCGGCAAUGGACGGAAGUCUGACCGAGCAACGCCGCGUGAGUGAAGAAGGUUUUCGGAUCGUAAAGCUCUGUUGUAAGAGAAGAACGAGUGUGAGAGUGGAAAGUUCACACUGUGACGUAUCUACCAGAAGGACG